RNAcentral lists this ribosomal RNA (489 nucleotides) under uncultured bacterium. RNAcentral describes it as "partial 16S ribosomal RNA". It matches the Rfam family "Bacterial small subunit ribosomal RNA", at positions 28 to 507 of the family's 1533-position model. The record is from RNAcentral.
GACGAACGCUGGCGGCGUGCUUAACACAUGCAAGUCGAACGGAAAGGCCCCCAUCUUGGUGGGGGUGCUCGAGUGGCGAACGGGUGAGUAACACGUGGGUGAUCUGCCCUGUACUUCGGGAUAAGCUUGGGAAACUGGGUCUAAUACCGGAUAGGACCAUGGUUUAGUGUCUCAUGGUGGGAAGAUUAGUGUUUUGGUGCAGGAUGAGCGCGCGGCCUCUCAGCUUGUUGGUGGGGUAAUGGCCUACCAAGGCGUCGACGGGUAGCCGGCCUGAGAGGGUGGCCGGCCACAUGGGGACUGAGGUACGGCCCAGCUUCCGGCGGGAGGAAGCAGUGGGGAAUAUUGCACAAUGGGAGCAAGACUGAUGCAGCGCCGCCGCGUGGGGGAUGACGGCCUUCGGGUUGUAAACUCCUUUAGUUAGGGACGAAGCCGCACUUUUUUUGGGUGUGGUGACGGUACCUUUGUUAAGAAGCACCGGCUAACUACGUG